RNAcentral lists this ribosomal RNA (407 nucleotides) under uncultured bacterium. Its description in RNAcentral is "partial 16S ribosomal RNA". It matches the Rfam family "Bacterial small subunit ribosomal RNA", at positions 28 to 526 of the family's 1533-position model. The record is from RNAcentral.
GACGAACGCUGGCGGCGUGCCUAAUACAUGCAAGUAGGACGCAGUUGCGAACGGGUGAGUAACGCGUAGGUAACUACCUAUUAGAGGGGGAUAACUAUUGGAAACGAUCGCUAAUACCGCAUACUAGUAGAUGGACCUGCGUUGUAUUAGCUAGUAGGUAGGGUAAUGGCCUACCUAGGCAACGAUACAUAGCCGACCUGAGAGGGUGAUCGGCAAACCUGGGACUGAGGCACGGCCCAGACUCCGACGCGGUGCAGCAGUAGGGAAUCUUCGGCAAUGGGGGGAACCUUGACCGAGCAACGUGGGGUGAGUGAAGAAGGGUUUAGGAUCGUAAAGCGCUGUUGUUAAGGAAGCGGUACUUAACCAGAAAGGGACGGCUAACUACGUGCCAGCAGCCGCGGUAAUUC